CCGAAACUGGUUCGAAAACCUCCCAGUAUAAAAAACUAGGCAAAG
Molecule: non-coding RNA, 45 nt
Organism: Ruminococcus sp. CAG:17
Lineage: Bacteria; Bacillati; Bacillota; Clostridia; Eubacteriales; Oscillospiraceae
Source: Rfam